AACGGUGAAGCCAAGCUUGCUUGGUGGAUCAGUGGCGAACGGGUGAGUAACACGUGAGCAACCUGCCCUGGACUCUGGGAUAAGCGCUGGAAACGGUGUCUAAUACUGGAUAUGAGCUCUCAUCGCAUGGUGGGGGUUGGAAAGAUUUUUCGGUCUGGGAUGGGCUCGCGGCCUAUCAGCUUGUUGGUGAGGUAAUGGCUCACCAAGGCGUCGACGGGUAGCCGGCCUGAGAGGGUGACCGGCCACACUGGGACUGAGACACGGCCCAGACUCCUACGGGAGGCAGCAGUGGGGAAUAUUGCACAAUGGGCGGAAGCCUGAUGCAGCAACGCCGCGUGAGGGAUGACGGCCUUCGGGUUGUAAACCUCUUUUAGCAGGGAAGAAGCGAGAGUGACGGUACCUGCAGAAAAAGCGCCGGCUAACUACGUGCCAGCAGCCGCGGUAAUACGUAGGGCGCAAGCGUUAUCCGGAAUUAUUGGGCGUAAAGAGCUCGUAGGCGGUUUGUCGCGUCUGCUGUGAAAUCCCGAGGCUCAACCUCGGGCCUGCAGUGGGUACGGGCAGACUAGAGUGCGGUAGGGGAGAUUGGAAUUCCUGGUGUAGCGGUGGAAUGCGCAGAUAUCAGGAGGAACACCGAUGGCGAAGGCAGAUCUCUGGGCCGUAACUGACGCUGAGGAGCGAAAGGGUGGGGAGCAAACAGGCUUAGAUACCCUGGUAGUCCACCCCGUAAACGUUGGGAACUAGUUGUGGGG
RNAcentral lists this ribosomal RNA (749 nucleotides) under Microbacterium aurantiacum. RNAcentral describes it as "partial 16S ribosomal RNA". It matches the Rfam family "Bacterial small subunit ribosomal RNA", at positions 65 to 827 of the family's 1533-position model. Lineage: Bacteria; Bacillati; Actinomycetota; Actinomycetes; Micrococcales; Microbacteriaceae. The record is from RNAcentral.